CCUACGGGAGGCAGCAGUGGGGAAUAUUGCACAAUGGGGGAAACCCUGAUGCAGCAACGCCGCGUGAGUGAAGAAGUCAUUCGUGAUGUAAAGCUCUAUCAGCAGGGAAGAAAAUGACGGUACCUGAGUAAGAAGCCCCGGCUAACUACGUGCCAGCAGCCGCGGUAAUACGGAGGAUGCGAGCGUUAUCCGGAUUUAUUGGGUUUAAAGGGUGCGUAGGCGGUCCGGAAAGUCAGCGGUAAAAGCCCGGGGCUCAACCCCGGCGAGCCGUUGAAACUGUCGGACUAGAGACGGCGAGAAGUACG
This 305-nucleotide ribosomal RNA is filed under the name uncultured bacterium. Its description in RNAcentral is "bacterial SSU rRNA". It matches the Rfam family "Bacterial small subunit ribosomal RNA", at positions 338 to 661 of the family's 1533-position model. The record is from RNAcentral.